RNAcentral lists this non-coding RNA (31 nucleotides) under Rattus norvegicus (Norway rat). The record is from RNAcentral. Lineage: Eukaryota; Metazoa; Chordata; Mammalia; Rodentia; Muridae.
UUGACCAUUCCCAGUUUAUACUGGAUUACUU